GAAGUUGCCACACAUAAACAUAUGUAUACUAAAUAAAUAAAUGUAAAAAGGUGAAGGUUGUAAAAUAAUGUAAUUAGUAGUAUUAACAUAGUUUUAUCAACAUAGUUAUAUAUAUUCUGGUUUAAGAUGGGUCAUAUUACCAUUAAAAGGGGGGAUGCCUUACAGCCUAUUUUAAUAUGGGGAAAUUAAAAUAAAUCACAAAUUCAGACGAAGAUCUUUCUCAUGGUGUAUUCUGCUUGACCAUCAACAUUGAAAAAGGAUAUACCUUCUCUCAUUGUACUUAAAAGAACCUAAAUAUUUGUUUUGAAUAUAUGGCCAGGGGCGGAUCCAGUCAUUUUAAAAAGGUGGGGUUCCUAGUUCCUAACCCAGGACAAAGAGGGGGAUUCCAACUACAUGUCCCCAUUCAAAUGCAUAGAUCGUCAAAAAAAGGAACAUCUAUUUACCCGAGGUCACCUCCCUGGAUCCUCCACUGUAGCCUAUUUUCACAAUGCUUGAGUAUAAAUGAAAAUUACAUGAGGUCACCCCCCUGGAUCUGCCACUGUGGCCUAUUUUCACAAUGCUUAGGUAUAAAUGAAAUUUAAAAUAUUUGAUUCAAAAUAAAUUAUUAUGCCACAGAUCUAGAUGUAAUGGUGAUCUGCAUCAAUACACAGAAGUUUUAAAAUUAUUAUUUUUUUCCCAUCUUUUUAACAAUGCAUGAUACC
This 701-nucleotide long non-coding RNA is filed under the name Mytilus galloprovincialis (Mediterranean mussel). The record is from RNAcentral. Lineage: Eukaryota; Metazoa; Mollusca; Bivalvia; Mytilida; Mytilidae.